AGCAGCCGCGGUAAUUCCAGCUCUCUAGUGUAUCUCGUUAUUGCUGCGGUUAAAAAGCUCGUAGUUGGAUCUAGGUUACGUGCCGCAGUUCGCAAUUUGCGUUAACUGUGGUCGUGACUUCUAAUUUGCUGGUUUGAGGUUGGGUUCGCCCUUCAACUGCCAGCAGGUUUACCUUGAAUAAAUCAGAGUGCUCAAUACAGGCGCUUGCUUGAAUAGCUCAUCAUGGAAUAAUGAAACAGGACUUCGGUUCUUUUUGUUGGUUCUAGAAUUGAUCUAAUGGUUAAGAGGGACAAACCGGGGGCAUUCGUAUCAUUACGCGAGAGGUGAAAUUCGUGGACCGUAGUGAGACGCCCAAUAGCGAAAGCAUUUGCCAAGAAUGUCUUCAUUAAUCAAGAACGAAAGUCAGAGGUUCGAAGGCGAUUAGAUACCGCCCUAGUUCUGACCGUAAACGAUGCCAUCUCGCGAUUCGGAGGGUUCAUGCCCUACCGAGGAGCUACCCGGAAACGAAAGUCUUUCGGUUCCGGGGGUAGUAUGGUUGCAAAGCUGAAACUUAAAGAAAUUGACGGAAGGGCACCACAAGGCGUGGAGCUUGCGGCUUAAUUUGACUCAACACGGGAAAACUCACCCGGUCCGGACACUAUUAGGACUGACAGAUUGAAAGCUCUUUCUCGAUUUGGUGGUUGGUGGUGCAUGGCCGUUCUUAGUUGGUGGAGUGAUUUGUCUGGUUUAUUCCGAUAACGAGCGAGACUCUAGCCUGCUAAAUAGUCGACGAAUCUUCGGGUUCGUAUAACGUUCUUAGAGGGAUAAGCGGUGUUUAGCCGCACGAGAUUGAGCGAUAACAGGUCUGUGAUGCCUUAGAUGUCCGGGGCUGCACGCGUGCUACACUGGUGGAGUCAGCGGGUUUUUCCUAUGCCGAAAGGUAUCGGUAAACCGUUGAACUUCUUCCAUGUCCGGGAUAGGGUAUUGUAAUUAUACCCUUAAACGAGGAAUGCCUAGUAAGUGUGAGUCAUCAGCUCACGUUGAUUACGUCCCUGCCCUUUGUACACACCGCCCGUCGCUAUCCGGGACUGAACUGAUUCGAGAAGAGUGGGGACUGUGGCUGCGAGGUUUUACCACUUCGCAGUUGCGGAAACCAUUUUUAUCGCAUUGGUUUGAACCGGGUAAAAGUCGUAACAAGGUAGCUGUAGGUGAACCUGCAGCUGGAUCAUCG
Caenorhabditis japonica is the source of this 1210-nucleotide non-coding RNA. The record is from Rfam. NCBI's taxonomy places the organism in Eukaryota, Metazoa, Nematoda, Chromadorea, Rhabditida, Rhabditidae.